AACGAACGCUGGCGGCAUGCCUAACACAUGCAAGUCGAACGAGACCUUCGGGUCUAGUGGCGCACGGGUGCGUAACGCGUGGGAACCUGCCCUUAGGUUCGGAAUAACUCCCCGAAAGGGGUGCUAAUACCGGAUAAUGUCUUCGGACCAAAGAUUUAUCGCCUUUGGAUGGGCCCGCGUUGGAUUAGCUAGUUGGUAGGGUAAAAGCCUACCACGGCGACGAUCCAUAGCUGGUCUGAGAGGAGGAUCAGCCACACUGGGACUGAGACACGGCCCAGACUCCUACGGGAGGCAGCAGUGGGGAAUAUUGGACAAUGGGCGAAAGCAUGAUCCAGCAAUGCCGCGUGAGUGAUGAAGGCCUUAGGGUUGUAAAGCUCUUUUACCCGGGAUGAUAAUGACAGUACCGGGAGAAUAAGCUCCGGCUAACUCCGUG
This 433-nucleotide ribosomal RNA is filed under the name uncultured bacterium. Its description in RNAcentral is "partial 16S ribosomal RNA". It matches the Rfam family "Bacterial small subunit ribosomal RNA", at positions 29 to 507 of the family's 1533-position model. The record is from RNAcentral.